Molecule: ribosomal RNA, 500 nt
Filed under: uncultured bacterium
Lineage: Bacteria
Description: partial 16S ribosomal RNA
Rfam family: Bacterial small subunit ribosomal RNA
Source: RNAcentral
AUUGAACGCUGGCGGCAUGCCUUACACAUGCAAGUCGAACGGCAGCACGGGAGCAAUCCCGGUGGCGAGUGGCGAACGGGUGAGUAAUGUAUCGGAACGUGCCCAGUCGUGGAGGAUAACGUAGCGAAAGCUACGCUAAUACCGCAUACGAUCUAUGGAUGAAAGCGGGGGACCGUAAGGCCUCGCGCGAUUGGAGCGGCCGAUAUCAGAUUAGGUAGUUGGUGGGGUAAAGGCCUACCAAGCCGACGAUCUGUAGCUGGUCUGAGAGGACGACCAGCAACACUGGGACUGAGACACGGCCCAGACUCCUACGGGAGGCAGCAGUGGGGAAUUUUGGACAAUGGGCGCAAGCCUGAUCCAGCAAUGCCGCGUGCAGGAUGAAGGCCUUCGGGUUGUAAACUGCUUUUGUACGGAGCGAAAAGGCUCUCUCUAAUACAGGGGGCUCAUGACGGUACCGUAAGAAUAAGCACCGGCUAACUACGUGCCAGCAGCCGCCGUAA